UACGAAGGGGGCUAGCGUUGCUCGGAAUCACUGGGCGUAAAGCGCACGUAGGCGGAUUUCUAAGUCAGGGGUGAAAUCCUGGAGCUCAACUCCAGAACUGCCUUUGAUACUGGGAAUCUCGAGUCCGGGAGAGGUGAGUGGAACUGCGAGUGUAGAGGUGAAAUUCGUAGAUAUUCGCAAGAACACCAGUGGCGAAGGCGGCUCACUGGCCCGGUACUGACGCUGAGGUGCGAAAGCGUGGGGGGCAAACAGG
Molecule: ribosomal RNA, 253 nt
Filed under: uncultured bacterium
Lineage: Bacteria
Description: partial 16S ribosomal RNA
Rfam family: Bacterial small subunit ribosomal RNA
Source: RNAcentral